CAGAAGAUCAGAACUAAUCUAUCAUUCUCGUGGGCCUUGAUGCUAUUUGGGCCCACGAUAACCUAGCCCAGCCCAGCGUGGUUGUUCCGAGGCCGGCCCCUUCCGCUCACUCUUGGUCUGCUACUCUGCUGGCUCUCGUCUCCCUCCCUCGCAGCCAAGAACAGCUUCCAGAAUCCAGAAUCAAGAUCGAUCUGACCGAGGCCGCCACGGCGGCGCGUCCCUGAGAAAACUUUUGCCACCUCGCCAUACUCUCCUCCUCGCCGGCACUUCCCCAUUGCUUGCUUAGGCGUCGCCGUCCGGUGCGCCGGCCACGAUGCAACCGGCGCUGCUCCGUCGGCGGUUGCGCAUCGAGGCACGUCGCCGUACUCCGCCCCACGCUUGCGAGACUUGAGGACAGAAGAGGGAGCCACAGCGGAGCUGGAGAGGCGGCGGACGCUUGAGGUACAAAUUUUGGGCAUUGGACAUUGAUUCCCUUGAGCAUUCGUACCCUGCUAUGACAAUAUAUAUAUAUCACAGUGGACAAGAAGAGAUUUGCUAAUAUUACUGAAUGUCUUCUA
Molecule: long non-coding RNA, 557 nt
Organism: Lolium perenne
Lineage: Eukaryota; Viridiplantae; Streptophyta; Magnoliopsida; Poales; Poaceae
Source: RefSeq, a predicted model, not a curated record